Molecule: ribosomal RNA, 593 nt
Filed under: Candida albicans
Lineage: Eukaryota; Fungi; Ascomycota; Pichiomycetes; Serinales; Debaryomycetaceae
Also listed under: 1 other name
Description: eukaryotic LSU rRNA
Rfam family: Eukaryotic large subunit ribosomal RNA
Source: RNAcentral
AUAUCAAUAAGCGGAGGAAAAGAAACCAACAGGGAUUGCCUCAGUAGCGGCGAGUGAAGCGGCAAAAGCUCAAAUUUGAAAUCUGGCGUCUUUGGCGUCCGAGUUGUAAUUUGAAGAAGGUAUCUUUGGGCCCGGCUCUUGUCUAUGUUCCUUGGAACAGGACGUCACAGAGGGUGAGAAUCCCGUGCGAUGAGAUGACCCGGGUCUGUGUAAAGUUCCUUCGACGAGUCGAGUUGUUUGGGAAUGCAGCUCUAAGUGGGUGGUAAAUUCCAUCUAAAGCUAAAUAUUGGCGAGAGACCGAUAGCGAACAAGUACAGUGAUGGAAAGAUGAAAAGAACUUUGAAAAGAGAGUGAAAAAGUACGUGAAAUUGUUGAAAGGGAAGGGCUUGAGAUCAGACUUGGUAUUUUGCAUGUUGCUCUCUCGGGGGCGGCCGCUGCGGUUUACCGGGCCAGCAUCGGUUUGGAGCGGCAGGAUAAUGGCGGAGGAAUGUGGCACGGCUUCUGCUGUGUGUUAUAGCCUCUGACGAUACUGCCAGCCUAGACCGAGGACUGCGGUUUUUACCUAGGAUGUUGGCAUAAUGAUCUUAAGUCGC